Non-coding RNA from Thalictrum thalictroides, 162 nucleotides. The record is from the annotation of a GenBank genome assembly. Lineage: Eukaryota; Viridiplantae; Streptophyta; Magnoliopsida; Ranunculales; Ranunculaceae.
AUACUUACCUGGACAGGGUCGAUGGGCGAUCAAGAAGGCUCAUGGCUUAGGUUAGUGACCUCCAUUGCACUCAGGAGGGGUGCUGGCCUAAGAUAUCCCCAAGUGGGAUAGUCUACGUCAUAAUUUUGUUUCUAAGGGGGUAUGCGUUCGUGCGGCCCCUGC